This 483-nucleotide ribosomal RNA is filed under the name uncultured bacterium. Its description in RNAcentral is "bacterial SSU rRNA". It matches the Rfam family "Bacterial small subunit ribosomal RNA", at positions 28 to 511 of the family's 1533-position model. The record is from RNAcentral.
GAUGAACGCUGGCGGUGUGCUUAACACAUGCAAGUCGAACGAGCUUUAUCACUACGAUCCCUUCGGGGUGACGGUUUUAAAGCGAGUGGCGGACGGGUGAGUAACGCGUGGAUAACCUGCCAUACACUGGGGGAUAACAGCUGGAAACAGCUGCUAAUACCGCAUAAAACUGUAGAGUCGCAUGACUUUAUAGCCAAAGCUCCGGCGGUGUAUGAUGGAUCCGCGUCUGAUUAGGCAGUUGGCGGGGUAACGGCCCACCAAACCGACGAUCAGUAGCCGACCUGAGAGGGUGACCGGCCACAUUGGGACUGAGACACGGCCCAGACUCCUACGGGAGGCAGCAGUGGGGAAUAUUGCACAAUGGAGGAAACUCUGAUGCAGCGACGCCGCGUGAGCGAUGAAGUAUUUCGGUAUGUAAAGCUCUAUCAGCAGGGAAGAUAAUGACGGUACCUGACUAAGAAGCUCCGGCUAAAUACGUGCCAG